AGAGUUUGAUCAUGGCUCAGAACGAACGCUGGCGGCGUGCUUAACACAUGCAAGUCGAACGAGAAAGUUCUUUCGGGAACGAGUAAAGUGGCGCACGGGUCCGUAACACGUGGAUAACCUACCUCAUUGUGGGGGAUAACUGACCGAAAGGUCCGCUAAUACCCUAUAUGACCACAGUACCUCAGGGUACAGGGGUAAAAGGUGGCCUCUCUUUAGAAGCUAUCGCAUUGAGAUGGGUCUGCGCACCAUUAGCUUGUUGGUAGGGUAAAAGCCUACCAAGGCCAAGAUGGUUAGCUGGUCUGAGAGGAUGAUCAGCGACACUGAAACUGAGAUACGGUCCAGACUCCUACGGGAGGCAGCAGUGGGGAAUAUUGGACAAUGGACGAAAGUCUGAUCCAGCAACGCCGCGUGAGUGAUGAAGGCCUUAGGGUUGUAAAGCUCUGUCAGUUGGGACGAAAAAAUUCAACUUAAUACGUUGAAUCUUGACGGUACCUUCAAAGGAAGCACCGGCUAACUCUGUGCCAGCAGCCGCGGUAAUACAGAGGGUGCAAGCGUUGUUCGGAAUUACUGGGCGUAAAGAGUAUGUAGGCGGCGAAGUUUGUCUGAUGUGAAAUACCCUGGCUUAACCAGGGAACUGCAUUGGAAACUGCUUUGCUAGAGUGUGAGAGAGGAUAGUGGAAUUCCUAGUGUAGAGGUGAAAUUCGUAGAUACUAGGAGGAACACCAGAGGCGAAGGCGGCUAUCUGGAUCACCACUGACGCUGAGAUACGAAAGCGUGGGUAGCAAACAGGAUUAGAUACCCUGGUAGUCCACGCCGUAAACGAUGAUAACUAGACGUCGGAGGUAUUGACCC
This 852-nucleotide ribosomal RNA is filed under the name uncultured bacterium. Its description in RNAcentral is "bacterial SSU rRNA". It matches the Rfam family "Bacterial small subunit ribosomal RNA", at positions 8 to 838 of the family's 1533-position model. The record is from RNAcentral.